ACUCCAACGGCAUCGAGGUGACUAUCAAUGCAUAACAUAUUACAUAAUCAAUAACACAUACAUCAGUACAUAAUAAAAUAAUAUCAGCAGUCACUGAACAUGUUGAAUGUGUGUUACUAAAACGAGGAGCGGGGAACAGGGAUCUGGGAACGAGUGAUCAGCGGUAGGGCACAGCGAUGUAGCAACCUCACGUGCGUCUCUUUGGCUCUUCUCUCGUUAAAAUGGAUGAUGUGAUAGAGAUCAAGUCAAGUGAAUGCUCAAGCUCAGACUCAAGCUCAGACUUGGACUCAAGCUCAGACAUUGUUAAACUUGUAAAAGAAAAACAGCAGCUUGUGAUUUCAGCUCGCACUAAACUACCACGCAUGAAUUAUUCAUAAUUGUUAGAAACAGAGUCAGAGAUUUCACUUACCAUCCAUUUUAACGAGAGAAGAGCCAAAGAGACGCACGUGAGGUUGCUACAUCGCUGUGCCCUACCGCUGAUCACUCGUUCCCAGAUCCCUGUUCCCCGCUCCCCGUUUUAGUAACAUCCAUGUUGAAUUUUCCAUCAUCAUCA
Nematostella vectensis (starlet sea anemone) is the source of this 553-nucleotide long non-coding RNA. RefSeq lists it as uncharacterized. NCBI's taxonomy places the organism in Eukaryota, Metazoa, Cnidaria, Anthozoa, Actiniaria, Edwardsiidae. The record is from RefSeq and is a predicted model, not a curated record. The transcript has 3 exons.